RNAcentral lists this ribosomal RNA (402 nucleotides) under bacterium. RNAcentral describes it as "partial 16S ribosomal RNA". It matches the Rfam family "Bacterial small subunit ribosomal RNA", at positions 355 to 776 of the family's 1533-position model. The record is from RNAcentral.
UGGGGAAUUUUGCACAAUGGGGGAAACCCUGAUGCAGCGACGCCGCGUGAUUUAGAAGGCCUUCGGGUUGUAAAAAUCUUUUCUAUGGGAAGAAAAUGACAGUACCAUAGGAAUAAGGACCGGCUAAUUACGUGCCAGCAGCCGCGGUAAUACGUAAGGUCCGAGCGUUGUCCGGAAUCAUUGGGCGUAAAGGGUACGUAGGCGGGUAAGCAAGUUAGAAGUGAAAUCCUAUAGCUCAACUAUAGUAAGCUUUUAAAACUGCUCAUCUUGAGGUAUGGAAGGGAAAGUGGAAUUCCUAGUGUAGCGGUGAAAUGCGCAGAUAUUAGGAGGAAUACCGGUGGCGAAGGCGACUUUCUGGCCAUAACCUGACGCUGCGGUACGAAAGCGUGGGUAGCAAACAGG